CUUUUGGAUUGUAUGAGAGGUUGGACCUGCCCACUGAAUAAUUAAAGGGCUGCGGUAUUUUGACCGUGCAAAGGUAGCAUAAUAAUUAGUCUUUUAAUUGAAGACUUGUAUGAAUGGUUUGACGAGAAAUAUUCUGUUUUGUUUUUGAAUAUUGAAGUUUACUUUUAAGUUAAAAGGCUUAAAUGCAAGUAAGGGACGAGAAGACCCUAUAGAGUUUAUAUAUAGCGGGAGUAUGAAGUGAUUUUGGAUUAGGGGAUCAUGUAUGACUGUUAUAUUUUGUUGGGGUGAUGAGAGGAUAAAAAAAACUCCUUUUUAUUGUUGACAAGGAUGUUUGGAAAAAUGAAUGAUCUUGUAUUAUGGAUUUAAAGAAAAAAUUACCUUAGGGAUAACAGCGUAAUUUCAUUUGAGAGUUCAAAUUGACGAUGAAGGUUGCGACCUCGAUGUUGAAUUAAGUUAAUAAUUAGGUGUAGGAGCUUAGUAUAUAGGUCUGUUC
This 493-nucleotide ribosomal RNA is filed under the name Derectaotus sp. Com. RNAcentral's name for it is "partial 16S ribosomal RNA". It matches the Rfam family "Bacterial large subunit ribosomal RNA", at positions 1833 to 2582 of the family's 2925-position model. Lineage: Eukaryota; Metazoa; Arthropoda; Insecta; Orthoptera; Mogoplistidae. The record is from RNAcentral.